UACAGAGGGUGCAAGCGUUAAUCGGAAUUAUUGGGCGUAAAGCGUGCGUAGACGGUUAUGUAAGUCGGGUGUGAAAGCCCCGGGCUCAACCUGGGAAUUGCAUUCGAGACUGUGUAGCUAGGGUACGGAAGAGGGAAGCGGAAUUUCAGGUGUAGCGGUGAAAUGCGUAGAUAUCUGAAGGAACACCAGUGGCGAAAGCGGCUUCCUGGUCCAGUACCGACGUUCAGGCACGAAAGCGUGGGGAGCAAACAGG
This 253-nucleotide ribosomal RNA is filed under the name uncultured bacterium. RNAcentral's name for it is "partial 16S ribosomal RNA". It matches the Rfam family "Bacterial small subunit ribosomal RNA", at positions 524 to 776 of the family's 1533-position model. The record is from RNAcentral.